This 465-nucleotide ribosomal RNA is filed under the name uncultured bacterium. RNAcentral describes it as "partial 16S ribosomal RNA". It matches the Rfam family "Bacterial small subunit ribosomal RNA", at positions 28 to 507 of the family's 1533-position model. The record is from RNAcentral.
GACGAACGCUGGCGGCGUGCUUAACACAUGCAAGUCGAACGGAAAGGCCCUGCUUGCAGGGUACUCGAGUGGCGAACGGGUGAGUAACACGUGGGUGAUCUGCCCUGCACUUCGGGAUAAGCCUGGGAAACUGGGUCUAAUACCGGAUAGGAGCCAUUUUUAGUGUGAUGGUUUGAAAGUUUUUUCGGUGUAGGAUGAGCUCGCGGCCUAUCAGCUUGUUGGUGGGGUAAUGGCCUACCAAGGCGGCGACGGGUAGCCGGCCUGAGAGGGUGGACGGCCACAUUGGGACUGAGAUACGGCCCAGACUCCUACGGGAGGCAGCAGUGGGGAAUAUUGCACAAUGGGCGCAAGCCUGAUGCAGCGACGCCGCGUGGGGGAUGACGGCCUUCGGGUUGUAAACUCCUUUCGCUAGGGACGAAGCUUUUUGUGACGGUACCUAGAGAAGAAGCACCGGCUAACUACGUG